Long non-coding RNA from Arvicola amphibius (Eurasian water vole), 691 nucleotides. RefSeq lists it as uncharacterized. NCBI's taxonomy places the organism in Eukaryota, Metazoa, Chordata, Mammalia, Rodentia, Cricetidae. The record is from RefSeq and is a predicted model, not a curated record. The transcript is spliced from 3 exons.
CUCCGGUGGCUUGUAACCUGUCACCCUAAGAUUCCUUGGUGCAAGGCAUGGUUUACCAGAUCAGGUGGAAGCGCUCAGCCAUGCCUGCCGUGACCCUGCUUCCCAUCAGGAUGAUCAUGGACUAAUCCUCUGAAACUGUGAAGGAACCCAGAUGGAAAGUGCUGGCUAACUCCAACUCCACUUAUGUCAAGUAUCAAGACACAAACAAACCCAGAGAGCCAGGAAGUCAUCAAUAACAACGGCUGUCCUGCCCGGACCUGGCCCAAGGAUGUGAGGGCUGUGGGAAUUGCGGAAAUGGGGGAAGCCAGACCCGAGAAUAAGAAAGGGUGGCCAGUGAAGUGGGCGGGAGGGGGGCAUAAGAGAGGGUGCUGCUGUGGAGCUGGAGAAAGACUGAAUCCUAGGUGAGAACAAGCAAUCAAAGAAAGAGGUCAAGGGAGAUGGAAGCAGCCAGUGGCAGUUUGGGUGAGGCGGUGAAGGCUCAGAGCUGGAAACGGGCAUGAAGCGGGAUGGAUAGGUCUCUCCGUCACCAGUGGCGAGGGCUGGGAGGCUCUCAGAGACCAAACUGCGACCUUUAGCCAAUCCCUAGGAUCUUCGACAUCAGAAAGAAUUCAGAACAAAGUAUGGCGUUGAAACUUUGGCACAGGCUAUCCUGUAACUCAUGAUGGAGCUGAAGCUGGCUAUAAACUCCUCU